This 465-nucleotide ribosomal RNA is filed under the name uncultured bacterium. RNAcentral's name for it is "partial 16S ribosomal RNA". It matches the Rfam family "Bacterial small subunit ribosomal RNA", at positions 28 to 507 of the family's 1533-position model. The record is from RNAcentral.
GACGAACGCUGGCGGCGUGCUUAACACAUGCAAGUCGAACGGAAAGGCCCUGCUUGCCGGGUACUCGAGUGGCGAACGGGUGAGUAACACGUGGGUGAUCUGCCCUGCACUUCGGGAUAAGCCUGGGAAACUGGGUCUAAUACCGGAUAGGAGCCAUUUUUAGUGUGAUGGUUGGAAAGUUUUUUCGGUGUAGGAUGAGCUCGCGGCCCAUCAGCUUGUUGGUGGGGUAAUGGCCUACCAAGGCGGCGACGGGUAGCCGGCCUGAGAGGGUGGACGGCCACAUUGGGACUGAGAUACGGCCCAGACUCCUACGGGAGGCAGCAGUGGGGAAUAUUGCACAAUGGGCGCAAGCCUGAUGCAGCGACGCCGCGUGGGGGAUGACGGCCUUCGGGUUGUAAACUCCUUUCGCUAGGGACGAAGCUUUUUGUGACGGUACCUAGAUAAGAAGCACCGGCUAACUACGUG